Caenorhabditis elegans is the source of this 149-nucleotide non-coding RNA. Lineage: Eukaryota; Metazoa; Nematoda; Chromadorea; Rhabditida; Rhabditidae. The record is from Ensembl.
UGCAACAAGUGGGGUUAUUUGUAAGCAAAAACCUCUCAUAUUUUUCCGUCAUCAGUCAUUUCAUUGUACUUGAGGCAAUCUAUCUCCUCCUUAUAUGGGGUUUGAUUUUUAUGCGUACCCUUCGACUUCUCAGUGUACGCUAGGCACUC